CAAACAAAUACACACUUUCUCAAAGAAAGUACAUUAUGUAACCAACCAUCCCCAGCAUUUGUGAGAUUUAACUAUUUUAAUACAGGAACCAAGAGGUGUCUAAAUACUAAUACAUACUCUAUAUUUUGUAUUUAACCUUUAUGUAACCAAGAAUGCCUAAUUUAAUACAAUUUCUAAUACAUUCAUAUAAAAUAUUUCAUCCAAAGAGCAACCUAAACAGCAACUUAAAACAACCCAAGAGCUGUCCUGUCCUGUCUAAAACCAUAAAAAUAAAUAUGACUAGUUUAAAACAAUCAGGAUGUAAAACACAUCAAUAUUCUAAAAUAUCCCAAAAUGUAAGCAGCCAGAAAAGUGAGCAACCAGUUUCUACAGCAAUGGUUUAAAUUUUGCAAUUUAAGAUAAUGGCUAAAUGCAGAGGGUUUAAGAUAGUUUACAAUAUACAGAAUCAAGAGCAUGUAAUAAUAAUAACUUUAUAUAGCAUGUUGCAAGAUGCAGCCCAAAGUGCUUCACAAGACAUAUCAAUAACAAAUAGCAAAGGCAAUAGAAAAACAAAAAAACAAAAAACAAAAACAAAGCAAACAAACAGUUUGAUAAAUCAUGCUAGAAACAUCAACCCAAAUUAAAAGCCAAGUUAAAAACAUAGUUAUUUCAUUUAUUUUUAAAAAUACCAAGAGAGUUUGCUGUUGGGCCAUAAAAACAGAAAGCAGCCUCACCAGAUGUCGUGUGGGACACUUUACGAACUUCUAAAAGAAAGGCAGUGGAAGAUCUGAGAGUUCUUGUUCAUACAUAAAAUGAGAGGUAGUCGCUGAUGUAUGAGGAUGCUGUCAUGGUUUUGGGUUUGUGUUCAGCUAUUUCCUGUUUUAUUUAGAAAUACUCUUUUCCCCGCAUGUGUCUGGUAGUUUUACUUCCUGUCUUUGAUAGCUUUUCACGCCAGUUUUGAUCGUUUGCUCCACCCUGAUUAGUUUCACCUGUGUCUCGUUAUCUCCCUUUACCUGAGUGUAUUUAGUCUGUGUGCUUCCCUUGUCUCUUUGUCAGAUUGUUUUCGUCAGUUGCUGUCAAGCGUCCUAGCCAGGUCUCGAGUGUUUCACGUGUUUUUGGAUUUUUACUCAUUUCAUGGAUUUUGGACUUUGCCUGCUCCCCAUCGGAUUUGUUUGCCUGUGUUGGACUGCGUUCCUGGUUUUGACCUCUGCCUGCUUCACCAUUCAUUCUGCAGGCUCAACCUGGACCACAGGACCUGAACAGUUGGCUCUUUGGGUGUGAACCUACAGACUGCAUGGACUGAUGGUCUGCUGACCUUGAUGAAAUGCCCAUCCAAAGAGUUUUACUGGAACAAGGAGUGCUAAUGGAGGCCAUGAGGUGUCCAUUGAAAGACAGGGCUCAUCAGUAAAUGGAAGGGCUACUGGUGAGCCAAACCUCUUCUUCCUUCAUACCGCCUACCAAACCUCUGACGCAAGCCCAUUUGUCUUCUCCUGCAGUUUCUCUGGAACUGGCUAUCUUUGUGGACUCUGGUGCGGAUAAGAACUUUAUCGACCGGGGGUUUGGCCAAACAGUUGGCCAACGCAUUGGAUGGCUGCCUACUCUGUUGAGUGACUCACCACACUCCACCUCUCAGCCUCUUCAUGUCAGAUAAUCACUCUGAAAAUCUCGUCUUAGCACGUUAUUGACUCACCGCAACUGCCACUUAUUUUGGGUUUCCCCUGGUUAAAGAAACAUAACCCUAACAUAGACUGGUGCACAGGGGCUGUUCUGGGAUGGAAUGCUAGAUGUCACUCAUCCUGUCUCUUGUCUGCUGCCCCUAAGGGCUCCCAAGCCUCCAUUUUCACCAAACUUGACCGCAGAAAUGCUUAUCACCUGGUCAGGAUCAGAGAAGGGGAUGAGUGGUAGACAGCCUUUAACACACCCAGUGGCCAUUAUGAAUAUUUGGAAUAUUACGCUUCAGCUAUGUUUCAGGCUCUGGUCAAUGAUGUGUUGUGAGACAUACUUAACCAUGUCUCACAGCACACCAUCUUAUUCCAAGGAUGAGAAGGAACAUGAGCAGCACGUCCGGAAGGUUCUUCAGCGUUUGCUGGAGAACCAAUUAUGUCAAUUAUAUGUUCUUCCCUCCCCAGGCACCAAGUUCCAGUGGUCUCCCGUCAGUUCGAACCUGAGGACAUCUCCAAGGGACCCUCCACCAUCCUGCCUCCCUCCUGUGUGGUCGGAGUUGUCACAUGGGGCAUUGAGAGCGAGGUCAGACGAGCCAUAGAAAGGACACAAAUUCCGAUUGGGUACCCCCCAACCGCCUGUUCCUCCCGGCAAACCUGAGCUCUGGGGUCCUGCUAUGGACGCACACCUCCAAAUUGAGCUGUCAUAUGGGGGUGCAACAAAUGGUCAGCCUCCUCAGACAGCGCUUCUGGUGGCCACCCUGGAAGAGGACGCUAGGGAAUCUAUUGCUGCCUGUCAAGUUUGUGCCCAGAAUAAGACCUUCCGCCAGCACCUGACUGGAUUACUUCAUCGCCUACCAGUACCACGGCAACCUUGGUCUAUCUAUAUCUCACUGGACUUUGUCACUGCGCUGCCCUAAUCAGAAGGUAACACUGUGAUACUCACAAUUAUUGACCGCUUUUCUAAGAUGGCUCACUUUGUCCCUCUGCCCAAACUCCCUUCUGUCAAGGAGACGGCGGAGGUUAUGCUCACCGAUGUGUUUCGUUUACAUGGUCUUCCCCAGGAUGUGGUGUCUCACUGGGGUCCCCAGUUCACCUCUCAGUUUUUGAAGGAGUUCUGCAGGCUAAUCGGAGCCAUGGCAAGCCUCUCUUCUGGCUUUCAACCUCAGUCUAAUGGUCAGACUGACACUUGGACAUCUACCUCAUGUUUUCAUUGCCCUCCAGCAUUCUAGAGUUUGUAUCUUCGGUUUUUGGAUUUUGCCUGCUCCCUGUCUGAUUUGUUUGCCUGCCUUGGACUGAUUUCCAGUAUAUGACCUUCAGUAAAAACUGCCUUUUUGAACUUUAAUCUGUGUCCGUGCUUUUCUCUGCAUCUGAGUCUCUGCUUUACCAGAAACCGACCGGCAGAGGUCGAUGUUGUCCUCGUAUGCGGCGAGAUGCAGUCUCACCCGGGGAUCCAAUCCCUGACAGAAGGUGGUGAUCAGGGAUUGCUCGUUCCACCCACUAGCCGCGGCGAGGGUUCGGAAUUCCGAGGCGUAGUCUUUCACAGAGCGGGAACCCUGCCUGAGGUGGUAGAGGCGUUCCCCUGUGGAGGAGUCACCCGCUGGUCUUCCGAACACCUCCUUGAGGUGGGACAGGAAGCUAGACAAGGAUUGGAUCACUGGUCCAUUCUGGGACCAGAUUGUCUCUGCCCAUUGUAGCGCCCGCCACUGGAGCUGCGAGAUGAUAAAUGCUACUUUGGACCGCUCGGUCGGGUAUAGGUGAGACUGCAUCUCCAGGACCAGAGCACACUGAAGGAGGAAGCAGUUGCACUCCUCUGCCGAGCCAGAGAAUGGCUGUGGAGGUGUCGCAGAACAGACGUACUCCAUAGGUGGUGGAGUGAUGGCGGAGGAUGCAGAAGUGGAGACAGGUGGAGAGACUGGUGGCGAAGCAGUGGUGUGUUGGAUCAGGAGAUCCACCAGCCUCUGGAGCGGAUCCGGGGUGCUCAUGCUGGUCGGCCUUCGGUGGUCCAGUCUUCUGUUACGAACAGACAGGCUGGAGACACUGAGGUAUA
This is a long non-coding RNA of Siniperca chuatsi (mandarin fish), 3690 nucleotides long. RefSeq lists it as uncharacterized. NCBI's taxonomy places the organism in Eukaryota, Metazoa, Chordata, Actinopteri, Centrarchiformes, Sinipercidae. The record is from RefSeq and is a predicted model, not a curated record. The transcript has 3 exons.